This 346-nucleotide RNase P RNA is filed under the name Prevotellaceae bacterium. RNAcentral describes it as "RNase P RNA component class A". It matches the Rfam family "Bacterial RNase P class A". Rfam says of the family: Ribonuclease P (RNase P) is a ubiquitous endoribonuclease, found in archaea, bacteria and eukarya as well as chloroplasts and mitochondria. Its best characterised activity is the generation of mature 5'-ends of tRNAs by cleaving the 5'-leader elements of precursor-tRNAs. The record is from RNAcentral. Lineage: Bacteria; Pseudomonadati; Bacteroidota; Bacteroidia; Bacteroidales; Prevotellaceae.
UCGGUAAGGCGCUCUAUCGCUGCCUCGCUAAGAGGGAGAGGAAAGUCCGGGCAAGGCAGAGCACCACGCUACCUAACGGGUAGAUGCUCGUAAGGGCAUGAGCCGCGUAACAGAAAACAACCGCCGGCCAGCUGGCCGGUAAGGGUGAAAAGGUGGGGUAAGAGCCUACCGCGGCAGUGGCAACACGCGCCGGCAGUACGCACCGUGGCUUGCAAGACCAAAUACACCAGCGCUACAGGGUGGCUCGCCCGAUGCUGGGGGGUAGGUUGCUGGAGCGCUGCGGCAACGCAGCGCGUAGAUAAAUGAUGGGGCACGACAGAACCCGGCUUACAGCCUUACCGAUUUU